This 362-nucleotide transfer-messenger RNA is filed under the name Akkermansiaceae. Its description in RNAcentral is "Akkermansia sp015062005 Standard tmRNA". It matches the Rfam family "transfer-messenger RNA". From Rfam's summary of the family: Bacterial tmRNA, also known as 10Sa RNA or SsrA, is named for its dual tRNA and mRNA-like properties. Its role is to liberate the mRNA from a stalled ribosome. RNAcentral also lists the same sequence under 1 other name. Lineage: Bacteria; Pseudomonadati; Verrucomicrobiota; Verrucomicrobiia; Verrucomicrobiales. The record is from RNAcentral.
GGGGGCGUCCCGGUUUCGACUGAACAUUCGAGGCGCCGGCUGCAUGUGGAGGUUGAUCGGCUGGCCUCCUUAAAAGCCGCUCAAAAGAUUAAGUGCCUAUUCUAAGAACGAAUACGCCAUGGCUGCGUAAUUAACGCGCCUUGCGCCGAUUCCCGACGCCUACUAGGGAUGACGCGCCUAGCUCAGUAGGCAGGUGCCCGGCGGGGGAACCGCGCCGGGUAUGACAUCCACAGGUUCCUGGCUAUGGUGAAAGGCUGACGCGGAGCGGAUCACCGGCGAGAUGCAGCAAUCCGCGUCUGAACAUGGAGAUGCUUGCGUCAACAGUGUCCAGGACAGGGGUUCAAUUCCCCUCGCCUCCAUCC